UGCGAUUUAUAGUGUAUAAUCUUGACUAGACCGUAGCCACUUACGACCACAAUUAAAAUGAAGAAAAAGAAAAGUAAAAAUAUUGAAAAUAAAAAGGAAAAGAGAUGAAAGAAACGCAAAAAGAAAUAACGAAGAAGAAAAUGAUACUUUAAAAUUCUAUUAACUUCUAAUCAACUUCCCACACUUAGCAAAAAUAUUCGCUAUGGCAUAUUACAGGAUUCAAACUCGAAAUUAGACAGAAUACAGUCGGAUGCUUAACCAAUGAACCAGCAGUCUCAUUCUUG
RNAcentral lists this long non-coding RNA (284 nucleotides) under Gossypium barbadense (sea-island cotton). RNAcentral's name for it is "long non-coding RNA (GBAR_LNC021549)". The record is from RNAcentral. Lineage: Eukaryota; Viridiplantae; Streptophyta; Magnoliopsida; Malvales; Malvaceae.